This 430-nucleotide ribosomal RNA is filed under the name uncultured organism. Its description in RNAcentral is "bacterial SSU rRNA". It matches the Rfam family "Bacterial small subunit ribosomal RNA", at positions 29 to 507 of the family's 1533-position model. The record is from RNAcentral.
AACGAACGCUGGCGGCAGGCUUAACACAUGCAAGUCGAACGCACCGCAAGGUGAGUGGCGCACGGGUGAGUAACGCGUGGGAAUCUGACCUGGAGUAAGGGAUAACAGUUGGAAACGACUGCUAAUACCUUAUACGCCCCGAGGGGGAAAGGUUAACUGCUCUGGGAGGAGCCCGCGUCCAAUUAGGUAGUUGGUGAGGUAACGGCUCACCAAGCCGACGAUUGGUAGCUGGUCUGAGAGGAUGACCAGCCACACUGGGACUGAGAACGGCCCAGACUCCUACGGGAGGCAGCAGUGGGGAAUAUUGGACAAUGGGGGCAACCCUGAUCCAGCCAUGCCGCGUGAGUGAUGAAGGCCUUAGGGUUGUAAAGCUCUUUCGGGUGGGACGAUGAUGACGGUACCACCAGAAGAAGCCCCGGCUAACUUCGUG